AUGGCGCCGACGUCUCCGAGCUCCGCGCCUCGUCUCCUCCUCGCGCUCUCCCUCAGCCUCCUCCUCACCAGCGCGCACCAGCUGACGGCGCCAACGCCGCCCGCGCCGUCCAAGGCGACGGCUGCCGGCAUUUCGCCCGAGCUCGUCUCCACGUUGCAGGAGGCUCUGGGCGCGAUCAAGGACGUCGCGUCCAUCGUCUCCUCCUUCCCUAUCGUCGGCGGCGUCCUUGGCGGCGAUGACCUCCGCCUCUCCUCUGCCAUCAACGACUGCCUCGACCUGCUCGACCUCUCCUCCGACGAGCUGUCCUGGUCGAUGUCCGCCGCUUCGCCGUCGACCGCGGGCGCGGGGGCCGCCGGCCGCGUCGGCACGGGCGACGCGCAGGCCGACCUCCGUGCGUGGCUCAGCGGCGCACUCGGCAACCAGGACACCUGCAAGGACGGCCUCGACGACACCGACUCCGUGCUAGGCUCGCUCGUCUCCACGGGCCUCCAGGCCGUCACGUCCCUGCUGGGCGGCGGGCUCGGCCAGGUCGCCGCCGGCGAGGAAGCCGCGUCGUCCGCCCGCACCAGUGGUCACCGGGGGCGCGGCCUCGGCCAGGGGGCUCACCACCCGCACUGGCUGGGCGGCAGGGAGCGCCGGCUUCUGCAGAUGCGGGUGGGUCCGGGCGGAAUGCCGGUGGACGCGGUGGUGGCGCAGGACGGGAGCGGCAACCACACGACUGUCCAGGCCGCCCUGGACGCGGCGCCGUCGGAGCGCGACGAUGGCCGGUACGUCAUCUACGUGAAGCGCGGCGUGUACAGGGAGACGGUGGAGGUGAAGAAGAAGAAGUGGAACGUGAUGUUGGUCGGCGACGGCAUGGGCGCCACCGUGAUCUCCGGCCGGCUGAACUACGUCGACGGCUACUCCACCUUCCGCACCGCCACCGUCGCUGUGGUUGGCAAGGGUUUCAUCGCGCGGGACAUGACGUUCGAGAACACGGCGGGGCCGGCCAAGCACCAGGCGGUGGCGCUGCGGUGCGACUCGGACUUGUCCGUCUUCUACCGAUGCGCCUUUGAAGGCCACCAGGACACGCUAUACGCGCACUCGCUCCGCCAGUUCUAUCGCGACUGCAACAUCGCUGGCACUGUCGACUUCGUCUUUGGCAACGCCGCCGCCGUCUUUCAGAAUUGCCACCUCCUUGCCCGCGCGCCGCUGCCGGGCCAGAAGAACUCCGUCACUGCGCAGGGUCGCUUCAACGCCUCCAUGAACUCCGGCUUCGCCUUCCAGUUCUGCAACGUCUCCGCGCACGACGACCUCCUUCGAGCCCAGGUAAACCAGACCGACAAGGCCGUCGCCACGCAGACCUUCCUGGGGCGGCCGUGGAAGGCGUACUCGCGGGUGGUGUUCAUGCAGUCCUACAUCGGCACUGUGGUCCGGCCCGAGGGGUGGCUCGCGUGGGACGACAACCAGUCCACGCUUGGCACGCUCUACUACGGUGAGUACAUGAACACAGGGCCUGGCGCCGGCAUCGGCGGCAGGGUGAGGUGGCCGGGCUACCACGUGACGAUGAGCCCUGCCGAGGCCAGCAACUUCACCGUGGCGCAGUUCAUCGAGGGCAACAUGUGGCUGCCGCCCACGGGCGUCAGGUUCACGUCUGGGCUGCUCGCUUCUUGA
Molecule: ribosomal RNA, 1653 nt
Filed under: Triticum aestivum (bread wheat)
Lineage: Eukaryota; Viridiplantae; Streptophyta; Magnoliopsida; Poales; Poaceae
Description: partial small subunit ribosomal RNA
Source: RNAcentral